Long non-coding RNA from Symphalangus syndactylus (siamang), 431 nucleotides. RefSeq lists it as uncharacterized. Lineage: Eukaryota; Metazoa; Chordata; Mammalia; Primates; Hylobatidae. The record is from RefSeq and is a predicted model, not a curated record.
GGGCCCCAGUGUGCAUAUGGGCCCGAGGUGGCAGUAGCUGGGCUUCAAGCUGGUAUUUCUCUUGAAAUGGUACCUGAACACAUGCAUUUGAGGAAGAAGAUCGUGGAGACGUAGGGAGGAGGUCUAGUGCUGGGUGCAAAGACAAUGAUGAACCAGGCCUGGAAAGGAACGAAAGGAAAGAGGGGCUAGGAGAGGGGUGAUAAAAACGUGUAAAUCAGAGGCUAAGUAUGGGGCUUGUGCCUGAACUUAACCCAGGGAGGCACCUGAGCCCUUUGCGCCCUGUCAAGGGCAGGGGCACGGGCAAGGAGAUGGACAGCAGCUUACAUCAGGAGUCUACUGGGGCCAAUACCACCACGACCACCACCGUCACCACCAUCAUCAUCCUAUGUAAGGCCUGGCAUCUAGUUGGUGUUCCCUAAGUGAUGACGAAG